Molecule: ribosomal RNA, 460 nt
Filed under: uncultured bacterium
Lineage: Bacteria
Description: partial 16S ribosomal RNA
Rfam family: Bacterial small subunit ribosomal RNA
Source: RNAcentral
CCUACGGGAGGCAGCAGUGAGGAAUAUUGGUCAAUGGACGAGAGUCUGAACCAGCCAAGUAGCGUGAAGGAUGACUGCCCUAUGGGUUGUAAACUUCUUUUAUAUGGGAAUAAAAUGUUGCACGUGUGGCUUUUUGUAUGUACUUUAUGAAUAAGGAUCGGCUAACUCCGUGCCAGCAGCCGCGGUAAUACGGAGGAUCCGAGCGUUAUCCGGAUUUAUUGGGUUUAAAGGGAGCGUAGGUGGAUUGUUAAGUCAGUUGUGAAAGUUUGCGGCUCAACCGUAAAAUUGCAGUUGAUACUGGCAGUCUUGAGUACAGUAGAGGUGGGCGGAAUGCGUGGUGUAGCGGUGAAAUGCUUAGAUAUCACGAAGAACUCCGAUUGCGAAGGCAGCUCACUGGACUGCAACUGACACUGAUGCUCGAAAGUGUGGGUAUCAAACAGGAUUAGAUACCCUGGUAGUC